GGGACACGUGGUAUCCUGUCUGAAUAUGGGGGGACCAUCCUCCAAGGCUAAAUACUCCUGACUGACCGAUAGUGAACCAGUACCGUGAGGGAAAGGCGAAAAGAACCCCGGCGAGGGGAGUGAAAAAGAACCUGAAACCGUGUACGUACAAGCAGUGGGAGCCUCUUAAUGGGGUGACUGCGUACCUUUUGUAUAAUGGGUCAGCGACUUAUAUUCUGUAGCAAGGUUAACCGAAUAGGGGAGCCGAAGGGAAACCGAGUCUUAACUGGGCGUUAAGUUGCAGGGUAUAGACCCGAAACCCGGUGAUCUAGCCAUGGGCAGGUUGAAGGUUGGGUAACACUAACUGGAGGACCGAACCGACUAAUGUUGAAAAAUUAGCGGAUGACUUGUGGCUGGGGGUGAAAGGCCAAUCAAACCGGGAGAUAGCUGGUUCUCCCCGAAAGCUAUUUAGGUAGCGCCUCGUGAAUUCAUCUCCGGG
RNAcentral lists this ribosomal RNA (478 nucleotides) under Escherichia coli. RNAcentral's name for it is "partial 23S ribosomal RNA". It matches the Rfam family "Bacterial large subunit ribosomal RNA", at positions 419 to 900 of the family's 2925-position model. The record is from RNAcentral. Lineage: Bacteria; Pseudomonadati; Pseudomonadota; Gammaproteobacteria; Enterobacterales; Enterobacteriaceae.